GCCUGGGUGGCUCAGUUGGUUGAGUGUCCGACUUCAGCUCAGGUCAUAUCUCACAGUCUACGGGUUCGAGCCCCGUGUCAGGCU
This 84-nucleotide transfer RNA is filed under the name Felis catus (domestic cat). It matches the Rfam family "tRNA". Rfam says of the family: Transfer RNA (tRNA) molecules are approximately 80 nucleotides in length. Their secondary structure includes four short double-helical elements and three loops (D, anti-codon, and T loops). Lineage: Eukaryota; Metazoa; Chordata; Mammalia; Carnivora; Felidae. The record is from Rfam by way of RNAcentral.